UAGGGAAUCUUGCGCAAUGGGCGAAAGCCUGACGCAGCCAUGCCGCGUGAAUGAUGAAGGUCUUAGGAUUGUAAAAUUCUUUCACCGGGGAAGAUAAUGACGGUACCCGGAGAAGAAGCCCCGGCUAACUUCGUGCCAGCAGCCGCGGUAAUACGAAGGGGGCUAGCGUUGCUCGGAAUUACUGGGCGUAAAGGGCGCGUAGGCGGAUAUCUAAGUUGGGGGUGAAAGCCCGGGGCUCAACCUCGGAAUAGCCUUCAAUACUGGAUAUCUUGAGUUCGGGAGAGGUGAGUGGAAUGCCGAGUGUAGAGGUGAAAUUCGUAGAUAUUCGGCGGAACACCAGUGGCGAAGGCGACUCACUGGCCCGAUACUGACGCUGAGGCGCGAAAGCGUGGGGAGCAAACAGGAUUAGAUACCCUGGUAGUCCACGCCGUAAACGAUGAGUGCUAGUUGUCGGCAUGCAUGCAUGUCGGUGACGCAGCUAACGCAUUAAGCACUCCGCCUGGGGAGUACGGUCGCAAGAUUAAAACUUAAAUGAAUUGACGGGGGUCAUAGCUGUUUCCUG
This 562-nucleotide ribosomal RNA is filed under the name uncultured bacterium. RNAcentral describes it as "partial 16S ribosomal RNA". It matches the Rfam family "Bacterial small subunit ribosomal RNA", at positions 355 to 941 of the family's 1533-position model. The record is from RNAcentral.